AUACGGAGGAUGCAAGCGUUAUCCGGAUUUAUUGGGUUUAAAGGGUGCGUAGGCGGUUUGCUAAGCGGGAGGUGAAAUGCCGGCGCUCAACGUCGGAAGUGCCUCCCGAACUGGUGGACUUGAAUGACUCUGCCGUGGGAGGAAUGUGUAGUGUAGCGGUGAAAUGCUUAGAGAUUACACAGAACACCGAUUGCGAAGGCAUCUCACGAAGGGUUGACAGUCGCUGAGGCUCGAAAGCGUGGGGAUCACACAGUAUUAGAUGCCAUGGUAGUGCACGCUGUAAACGAUGAUGGCUAACCGCUGGUUUAUUCGGAUCAGUGGCCAAGCGAAAGCGAUAAGGCAUCCAGCUGGGGAGUACGACCGCAAGGUUGAAACUCAAAUGCAUUGACGGGG
RNAcentral lists this ribosomal RNA (393 nucleotides) under uncultured bacterium. Its description in RNAcentral is "partial 16S ribosomal RNA". It matches the Rfam family "Bacterial small subunit ribosomal RNA", at positions 523 to 918 of the family's 1533-position model. The record is from RNAcentral.